RNAcentral lists this ribosomal RNA (384 nucleotides) under uncultured bacterium. RNAcentral's name for it is "bacterial SSU rRNA". It matches the Rfam family "Bacterial small subunit ribosomal RNA", at positions 28 to 414 of the family's 1533-position model. The record is from RNAcentral.
GACGAACGCUGGCGGCGUGCUUAACACAUGCAAGUCGAGCGGUAAGGCCCUUUCGGGGGUACACGAGCGGCGAACGGGUGAGUAACACGUGGGUGACCUGCCUUUAGCUCUGGGAUAAGCCUGGGAAACUGGGUCUAAUACCGGAUAUGACUCCGCGGUGCAUGCUGUGGGGUGAAAGCCUUGUGCGGCUGGAGAUGGGCCCGCGGCCUAUCAGCUUGUUGGUGGGGUGANGGCCUACCAAGGCGACGACGGGUAGCCGGCCUGAGAGGGCGACCGGCCACACUGGGACUGAGACACGGCCCAGACUCCUACGGGAGGCAGCAGUGGGGAAUCUUGCGCAAUGGGCGAAAGCCUGACGCAGCGACGCCGCGUGAGGGAUGACGG